UGAAGUAUAUUUUUAGUAGAUCUUUUUAGAAAAAGUUUAGUCACCCUUGAUCUACAGGUUAGGUGAUGGCUGAGGUAACAAUAAGCCCAAUCAACUGUAAUAGGUAUGAGUGAGUAAUAGAUAUUUUUUUUACUUUUAAGGUAGUUUUAGAUUUUUUCAAUAAAUAAAUUAAACAAUUUCCACUUUGUUUUAGAGACAUUAAAUUAUCACUGAUAAAUUGACCAACAAUUUUCAGAAUUGCCAUACUUACCUACGGUUUGUUUG
Molecule: non-coding RNA, 264 nt
Organism: Cinara cedri
Lineage: Eukaryota; Metazoa; Arthropoda; Insecta; Hemiptera; Aphididae
Source: the annotation of a GenBank genome assembly